GGAGCAUAAAGAUUCUCCACCCUGCAAGCCAUCACCUCUUACAGGAAGUAAAGUAGAAGACUGUUUUUCUGGAUCAUCAUCUGAAGAUGGGGACUCCAAGGGAUUUGAAGAAGAUCAUACUGAACAAGAUGCCUUACAUCGAGAAACUGCAACAGCUGAUAGAUCCACUUUCAUGCUUUAUCCAACUAAAAGGUUCUGCAAUCAUGAAGGCAAAGGUGUUUGCAAAUUUGUCCCCACCUCACCCUAUCCAAAAGGCAUAACUUCUUUAACAUAUUAAAUUAUUAAUACUUUGCACUCUUAUCAUCUCUGCUAUACAUAUUUUUGUUAUCAUAUUUCCUUCUUAACGUGUUCUUUUCUCUGUGCAAGAAAUCAUUAGGCACUGGUGAAAGUGGCUGGGACUUAGAGCCUUCAGAACAGUACCAAGAGAAUGAUUUGGAAAGUGUUUAUUUUCUAUGUUUAAAAUGAUAAAUAAGAAAUUUCAGAUUGGAUCCAGAAUGUUCUUCUAUUAUUACAUUUUAUUGUGUGCUUCA
Hevea brasiliensis (rubber tree) is the source of this 530-nucleotide long non-coding RNA. RefSeq lists it as uncharacterized. Lineage: Eukaryota; Viridiplantae; Streptophyta; Magnoliopsida; Malpighiales; Euphorbiaceae. The record is from RefSeq and is a predicted model, not a curated record. The transcript has 2 exons.